RNAcentral lists this ribosomal RNA (484 nucleotides) under uncultured bacterium. RNAcentral's name for it is "partial 16S ribosomal RNA". It matches the Rfam family "Bacterial small subunit ribosomal RNA", at positions 28 to 507 of the family's 1533-position model. The record is from RNAcentral.
AUUGAACGCUGGCGGCAUGCUUUACACAUGCAAGUCGAACGGCAGCGCGGGCUUCGGCCUGGCGGCGAGUGGCGAACGGGUGAGUAAUGCAUCGGAACGUGCCCAGUAGUGGGGGAUAGCCCGGCGAAAGCCGGAUUAAUUCCGCAUACGACCUGAGGGUGAAAGCGGGGGACCGAAAGGCCUCGCGCUAUUGGAGCUGCCGAUGUCGGAUUAGCUAGUUGGUGGGGUAAAGGCUUACCAAGGCGACGAUCCGUAGCUGGUCUGAGAGGACGACCAGCCACACUGGGACUGAGACACGGCCCAGACUCCUACGGGAGGCAGCAGUGGGGAAUUUUGAACAAUGGGGGCAACCCUGAUCCAGCCAUGCCGCGUGCGGGAAGAAGGCCUUCGGGUUGUAAACCGCUUUUGUUCGGGAAGAAAUCCUCUGGGCUAAUACCCCGGGGGGAUGACGGUACCGGAAGAAUAAGCACCGGCUAACUACGUG